This is a long non-coding RNA of Suricata suricatta (meerkat), 2931 nucleotides long. RefSeq lists it as uncharacterized. The record is from RefSeq and is a predicted model, not a curated record. The transcript has 7 exons. Lineage: Eukaryota; Metazoa; Chordata; Mammalia; Carnivora; Herpestidae.
CCGGAUGCCGAGAGUUUGGGAGCGCUGGUCCCGGGAGGAGAGCCGCCUGGCCCCCUCCCCUCAAGCCCCCUACUCUGCCCCCUCAGCUGUCCGCAGACUCCGUCUAGCGUGAGGGCAUCUGAGGGGGACCAACAGCCAAGCGCGCCACAGCAUCAAGAACCUGGGACCCUAAGGGGCGAGGGUCCCAUGGAAACGAGAGAGGCUCUUCGCGUCUGCGCGGACGCGCUAGGCACGGUGGGAAAUGUAGUUUCCGGGCUGCUCCCGGCAGUCAAAGGAACGGACGCAAGAUGGCGCCCGAGCGUCGCCGUGUGUUCCGCGCCGUAGGGUCGGUCCCACAGCCCCCCACCCGGAGCCCCAGCGCUGCCGGCGUAGGAGAGGCCGCGGAGGCCCGAAAGUAAAGUGGAGCAAGGAACCUGGAUGCAGAAGGGGAGGGCCCACCGAGGGUCCUUCUUCCCUGGCAGGGAUGGACUGGCGUGGAAGAUCAGGCCCUCUUGCACUGCAGCAAGAGGAAGAGUCUUGAGACGCACAGAGAGCAGUCAUCAAGUGUCCAGAAGGAGCCUGGGCUUCUGGAACAGGCUUGGUCCUGUCCAGAGAGGCGUUGGCAGCUCCCACUUCCUCAUGGGGCCUGCCUCAGGACACCCGGUGGCUGCGCCGAGGAGACCGGAAGGGCCAAGAGAGGCCAGACUCGGUGUGUAACCAGAGAAGGAUCAGACUCACAGGCACACAGCUUUACCAUAAAGGGGGCCAUGAGCAUGCGCGAGGGCUCAAGCCUCACCCUCCUCCCCGCUGCCAUCCAUGCUGGCCUGCCUCACCACCUUCCGGAGCCUGCGAGUGGAGGAACAGCCCGCCUCCUCCUGCUCCUGCAAGGCCCGGGUCCGGCUGGCCACCAGGGCGGCGCUGCUGAGGGCAGCCACGGACUGGUGGGACUUCAAGGCAGGCCAAGGCCCCUUGCGAGCCGGCCCUCCUCCCUUGGCCUUGGAGGGCUGAGGGAAGGGCUCUGGGGGGUCUUCUUCUGAAGACUCAUUUGAAGAAAACACCUGGAAGGGGCCGAGUGGAAGAAGAAUCACUAGGUCUUCCCAGGGUAGUGGUCUUAAGCACAAAGCCUGGAAAGGGGGGAAUGUUAAGUGAAUGCAGAAAACCUGAGCAACUCAUGGCCAUAUUUCCAGAGGAGGGAAGACAGCACCCCAGCCCCAUUGCCCGGCUCCUUGGCCCCCACCGGUCUUCGUUCCGGCCCCAGAAGCCCUCCUGUGCUCCCGGCCCCUCCUCCUCCUCUUGCCCCCGCUGCCUUUGAACAGUCAGUCCCGAGACCUCGGGUGAAACACCUUCCAGAUGCCGGGCUCUGACUGGGUGCCGAGUGAAGGCGCUGCCUUUAGGAACACCCACGCUCAGCCAUCAACCGUCCAUACCCAGUGCCACCUCCUCCAGGAAGCCUCUCACAAAUGUUCCCGCCCUCUGUAACGCGCUCUCCUUCCUCCAGAUCAGCCAGCUUGGCCUCCAGGCCUGUAGUGGGUCUGGCUUCCCAAGGCAGAGGCCAGCCACCGGUCGUCUACUUGUGCCCUGCAGCACCGAGCACAGAGGGUGCUCAGCUGCUCAGCCCGCAUUUGGUCGUGUGAGUGCCAUGAGCUCUGUACCCCAUCCUCUGACGGCUGCCCCUCAGAUCUGGGGGGCACAGAGAUCAUCUCAUCCACCUCAUGCGGGGUCAGCGGUUGGUUGUCCAGCUCUUGGCCCAGGGAGGAUACUCGGGCCAGGGCCGCGCAGCCCUGGCCCUUAGGAAGCAGGUCCUUGCGGCAGGCUGCAGCCUUCACGCCAGGGCUGGCUCAGCCCAGAAGCCCACGCGGAUGCCCCCGGCCCACGGCUGCCCUCCGGCUCCCACGGAGGGCAGUGCUCACUGAUCCCCCCAUGGGGUCUCCUUGGCUGCUUUGAGGGGACACAAGUGAGCCACCCAGAGAAUGGUCCCCAUGGGAAGUCAGGCACCGGUCCUGCCAGGCACCAUCUGCCCCUCCUACUUCCGUCCCCUAAUGGGCCUGGGCCUGGGCUCCUUCCCUAGCUCCGGCCUCACCUCAGGCAGGUCACUGGCCCCUGAAGUGCCGUCCAGCUCCGAGGAAGGCUCUAGGAGGCUGAUGGACCUCAUGACCCCUCGGAGGUUGAUACGGGGCCGUGGGCCAGGCUCUUCUUUCAGGGCUGACUGGCCCUCCUCCAAACCCAGAGCCUUCGCCUCCCCACUGCCCCCCGGUUCGGGCGGAAGAGGUGGGAAUGGCGGAGACACCUCGGGGGCGAGGGGCUCCUCUGGGGAAGCUCCACCCGCUUUCUGCUCCCAGACAUGGCUCUGCCGGCUGGAAAGAAGCGGCCUCGAGUCAGCGCUGAGGGACCCAGCAGCCACUCUCAGAGUCCAGGCCCACCCCCUGCGCUCCCGCAUCGCCCUGCCCUGCCCGCACCUGGCCGUCAGGAUGCCCUGACCCUGCCGCCAGCUCUGAGAAGAGGAGGCGGCCCGGAACCCUUACCACAUGGUCUGGAGGGAGAUCGGCUUGAAGAUUCGGCUUUGCCCACCGGACGUCACACUGAAGCCCCUGAGGGAGACCAGUCACCAGCUCUUACCCGUCUCCAUCAAGGUACACCUGGGUGUCACUCCAGAGGGGCAAGACCAGGCCCAGGGUGCAGCUCGGGGAGCUGGCAGGGGACAGAAGAAAAGCCGUCGUUCCCCAGUGUCUCAGCCCCUUGCCCCCCUCCCUUCCUCUCCCCGCGUGCACCUGCUGUCGGCGAAGUCCACUCCCAGAAGGACCGUCUCCUCCUGGCUCUGAUGUUCUCUCGUGGAAACUACCAGCAGGAAAGAGGCUUAGACAACAACAACAACCUUUUCCACGAGCCAUUACCACCAUUUGAUUCAAGAAAGGUUUCUCAUCAAAGAAAUUCUAAAGACACAAUCUCACAACA